Molecule: ribosomal RNA, 370 nt
Filed under: uncultured bacterium
Lineage: Bacteria
Description: partial 16S ribosomal RNA
Rfam family: Bacterial small subunit ribosomal RNA
Source: RNAcentral
CCUACGGGAGGCAGCAGUGAGGAAUAUUGGUCAAUGGGAGAGAUCCUGAACCAGCCAAGCCGCGUGAGGGAAGACGGCCCUAUGGGUUGUAAACCUCUUUUGUCGGGGAACUAAACACGGGACGUGUCCCGGACUGCGUGUAUCCGACGAAAAAGCAUCGGCUAACUCCGUGCCAGCAGCCGCGGUAAUCCGGAGGAUGCGAGCGUUAUCCGGGUUUAUGGGGGUUAAAGGGUGCGUAGGCGGUCCGUUAAGUCAGCGGUAAAAUUGCGGUGCUCAACCCCGACGAGCAGUUGAAACUGGCAGACUUGAGUUGGCGAGAGGUACGCGGAAUGCGCGGUGUAGUGGUGAAAUGCGUAGAGAUCGCGCAGAA